Molecule: ribosomal RNA, 514 nt
Filed under: uncultured bacterium
Lineage: Bacteria
Description: bacterial SSU rRNA
Rfam family: Bacterial small subunit ribosomal RNA
Source: RNAcentral
GAACGCUGGCGGCGUGCCUAAUACAUGCAAGUCGAACGGUCUUUCUAUGGAAGCUUGCUCCACUGAGAAGAUAGUGGCGAACGGGUGAGUAACACGUGGGUAACCUGCCCAUAAGAGGGGGGAUAACAUCCGGAAACGGGUGCUAAUACCGCAUAGUUUUCUUGGUCGCAUGAUCGGGAAAGGAAAGACGGCCUUUGUGCUGUCGCUUAUGGAUGGACCCGCGGCGUAUUAGUUAGUUGGUGAGGUAACGGCUCACCAAGACGAUGAUACGUAGCCGACCUGAGAGGGUGAUCGGCCACAUUGGGACUGAGACACGGCCCAAACUCCUACGGGAGGCAGCAGUAGGGAAUCUUCCGCAAUGGACGAAAGUCUGACGGAGCAACGCCGCGUGAGUGAAAGAAGGUUUUCGGAUCGUAAAACUCUGUUGUCAGAGAAGAACAAGUUGGAGAGUAACUGCUCCAGCCUUGACGGUAUCUGACCAGAAAGCCACGGCUAACUACGUGCCAGCCGCGGC